GCCCUCUUCAUACAUCAUUCCACUACUGCAUAUGCAACGUAAUCAAACAUUUAUGUAGUAUGAUACUGACUGACACUGUCUUGCAGUAUCUGGCAACACACUUUCUCUUGAGGAGCUUCAGGAGGAUAGUAUUAAUCCAGGUGAAGGAACUUCAGCUGCAGAAGAUGAGGAGACUGUGGAUGCAAGAAGGCUGGAGGACCCAGACGGUGUACCAAUCUGGGACCACAGAUUCACAAACAGUCAGAGGUCUCUACAGCACCCACUUAAAAAACAAAUUGAGUUGGCAGACAUACAAAUCACAUAUUACAAAAGAAAACUGCAGGAAUUGGACCUAGAUAUGGAAAUCAAAAGAAAGACACUAAAGAAACUGGACUUCGAAGUCCAGAAACUACAAAAAGAAGUCAUGUUUCAAUGCACGCUGUAAGCAGGACUGUAGGUUACAUCUUCAGAGAGUAGAACUUUUGACAAUGUCAUGAUGGUCAAGAUGCUUAUCCAAAAGAAUUGUGUGGCUUACCUUGUGA
Micropterus dolomieu (smallmouth bass) is the source of this 521-nucleotide long non-coding RNA. RefSeq lists it as uncharacterized. The transcript has 4 exons. The record is from RefSeq and is a predicted model, not a curated record. Lineage: Eukaryota; Metazoa; Chordata; Actinopteri; Centrarchiformes; Centrarchidae.